Molecule: long non-coding RNA, 4268 nt
Filed under: Lactuca sativa (garden lettuce)
Lineage: Eukaryota; Viridiplantae; Streptophyta; Magnoliopsida; Asterales; Asteraceae
Description: long non-coding RNA (LSAT_LNC008304)
Source: RNAcentral
AUAAUUAUAUUAUUGUGGGUUGAAAACCCUAUGUACUCACCAGGUUUCCCAACCUGACCCACUCAGUUUAUUUAUAUCACAGGUGUUGAUAUGAAGUGACAUUACACUGAGAGAUUUAAAGAGAUGUAGAUCACUAGUGUAAAUAAUUGUAAGUUCUGUUUAUGCUUAUGUUUCUGUAUUAACGAUGACAUCCCAAACGUUUUAAAAUGAAAUAAAUACGUUUCUUCGAAAAUGUUUUAAUAACGUAUUUACCAUGUUUUUCUGGGAACAAAUUCCGCAACAUUUUUAUAAAAUGAAGUACUCUGAUUUUUAUAAAGCAUAAACAAAAUCGGUCUUUUCUGGCCGUGAUUUUGGGGAUGUCACAGUUGGUAUCAGAGCAUUAGUUUAAGCGAACUAGGAAUAUGGAUUUAUUUCUAGACUUAAACUUAGAAUGCUAAGCGAUGAUUGUGAGGUGUGAGCACUAGCUUAUUUUAGGAAUUGUGCCUAAAAUGCUUUUAUGUGCUAAAUACUUGUGCCUGAUAUGCUGUUAGUUGUUCGGAUCUAUGGUCUGUUGCCGACCGGAUCUGGAAACCUUAUGUGUUUAGGAUUCUAAACGUACGACUACGAUAUUAGAACUAGCAUAUAAACGUUUCGGAGUGAUAAGGAUGAUUUAACCGUCAAUCCUAAGUAAAGGUCUAGAUUCACCUUAUUCGGUGUAUAGAUCAAGAUGGCAAGAACCCGUAGCGGAAACGUGAAUGCAAAUGGGAACCGAAACCAACCCCCAGUGAUUGAGCAAAUACCGGUUGUAGUAGCCGCUGCUGAGCCAAUAACAAUGGCCGGAGUACAAGCGAUGAUCCAGGCGAUGUUGGAUCGUCAAAUGGAGGAAACCAGGCGUUUGCUCUAGCAAAAUCGAGAGGAAGCGACCAUUCAGAUCGAACAGUCCGAGUUGAACGAAGGGCAGACUGAGGAAGGAAACUACAGUGGGACUGUUGGUCAAGUCAACCCACCAAUAGUUCGACAAAACAACCAAGAUGACGAAGUCGAGAGGAAUGGAUGCAAGUACAAGGAUUUUCUGACUUGCAAGCCAUCGACCUUCACUGGAAAGGAGGAUCCGAUCGGGGUCAUGGAUUGGAUAUCGGAGAUGGAAUUAGCUUUCAUGACGUGCGGUUGCAAGGGAAAACAACAGACCACAUUUGCAGUGCGUCAGUUUCGAGGAGGCGUUGUACGUUGGUGGAAUACCUUGGGGAAGACUCUGAGCCCCAAUGAGCCCCUGCAACUGACAUGGGCAGAAUUUCUGGUGCAAUUCAAACGAAAGUACUGCUCAGCCCAAAACCUGCUCGAGCUAGAGAACCAGUUUCUAACCCUGAAGAAAGGAAGCAUGUCUGUUGAUGAAUACACCAACAACUUCACAGAGAAGAUGGAGUUCGCCUUACGUCUUGUUCCGGAUGAGCUGACGAAAGUUGACAAGUAUGCAAAAGGACUCACAUGGGAGUACGCGGUGCCAGUGCGUCAGGCACCUACCUUGGAAGCAGCUAUCUAGGCUGCCAAGUCGGUUGAGGAUAUGAUCAAGGGAAGAGCCGCCAACGAGACCGAGGUUGGCAAAAAGAGGAAGUUUGAAGGGUCUGCAAAGCUCGAUGAGAGAAGCAAGGCCAGUACUAGGAAGUUUAAAGGAGGGAACGAAGAAAGAUGGUGCGAGAANNNNNNNNNNNNNNNNNNNNNNNNNNNNNNNNNNNNNNNNNNNNNNNNNNNNNNNNNNNNNNNNNNNNNNNNNNNNNNNNNNNNNNNNNNNNNNNNNNNNAGUUUAACUCUAAGAGACCUAAGUCUAAGUGUUGCAACGUACGAUAAUAGGUCAUUAGAAUAUGACACAUCGAUCCUUAGUGGUAAUAAAAGAAAUCAUCUCAAGUUCGUAUCCAAUAAGGAUCGAGAUUGUGACUUGAAGGUCAUAAUUGGGAGUCUAGCUUGAGGUGGAGAGCAGGUGCACGAUCAGGUACUACUUACAGUCAAUGAGUCUAAAAGGUAGACUUGAAGGAAUAUAGAAGUGAUAAUUAAUACCUAGGAUGAAGAGAUGACGUAUGGAGUCAUUAUACGACCCUGUUUCGUUGAUGAUUCCGGGACGUAAUCAUCCUAAGGGGGAGAUAAUUGUAACGCCCGCAAAUCCGGGCUAGUUAAUUUAGAGGCAAUAGGGGUCGAAAACGACUUUUCGACAAAAGAUUAUUUAAAAUAAGUAAUCUUAACCAAGUUGUAGGAUAUGUCACAAGGUUUCCGUACAUAUAAAGAACGCCGAAGUCCGAGUUAUAACGAAGAAGUUAUGGCCCGUCGAAGUUUUACGGCAAAACGGCAUGGCACCGGGAAGCGUAAAUAGUGAAUUUACGAUAGAGCGAGAUUUAGAUUUAGCAAUCUAAACAAAAGUUGUAGAAUAUGUUAAACUAAGAGCGUCGAUAAAAAGAACGCCCAAAUCUGACUUCGUAUGAGGAAGUUAUGAUUUUUCUAAGAUUCGGCUUAGCAGUGCACGGCCCGAAACUCGAAUUUUAGUUCGAGCGGUUUUUGGCUUACGCGACCUAAAUGAGAGUUGAAAAUCUCAUUAGUAGGAACUCAACGGUAAAAAGAUGGACGAAAACGGAGUUCGUAUGAAGGAGUUACGAAUUCUUCGCGGUCAUUUAACAGUCUAAACGCCUCCUACUGUUAAAUUUGAGAUCGGUCGAGAAUUAGCCGACGGAGUCUAAAUGAUAGUUUUAGAUCUUGAUUUUACCUACGCGUGGAUAUAAAGAACGUCGAAAACGGAGCUCGUAUGCGAGAGUUAUGAUUUUUCUAAGUUCGAAGGCUGAUACGCGAUAGGGGUGACGUGGCACCACCAGAAUUGGACACGUGGCACCACCAGAAGGCCACCACAUGGACCAACUCGGCGAGUAGGUCCCCCUACUCGGCGAGUCCAUCAAAUUUUUGCAGUAUAAAUAGAGGUGUCGGGUCUAGCCUUCUCUUCACACCUCCCAAACUCACUUUCUCUCUCUAGCCUCCCUAACCCCCCUAAAAGCCUAGGUAAACCCCCUAGCACCCGAAGGAAUCCCCGAGGCUCCCGGAGUCCCGAUAAAAGAGCCUUUCGGCUCGAGAACGCUGCUACAGCGAAGCCCGGUUUUCGAGAAAACCGGCUGUAAGUGAGCUACGCCUAACCUAUCUUUAGUAUAGCUUAUGUUUUAAUAUAGUAACAUUAUUAGGAACUUAUAAUGAGUAUUUGGGGUAUUAUUAUGAGUUAUAUUGAGUGUUAUUUAAUGCUUAUAUAAUAAUAAUAAUAGUCAGACUAUUAAAUUGUCGCGGUUAUCGUUAGACUAAACCCUAGUGGUAUUGAUACUAGGUUUUAUCGAAGGAAAUUGUUUUGAGAGUAUCGAAGCGCUGUUCGAGUGCUGAGUCACCACCUACUCAGGUGAGUGCAUAGUCCCUUUCAUCUUACACAUAGAUAUGAAGUAUUUUAUAUAAACUACGUGCUAUGUGUGCAUAUUAUCUGAAUACUUGUUGUCUAUGCUGGAUGAACGUUUUAUACAUGUUUUCAAUGAUUUAAACUGUAUAUGUAUUUUAUAUCUACAAAAUGUGUUGGGUAAAACAUGGGUAGAUGUAAUAGUUGCUGUGUGACAAAAUAAAAUAAUGAGAGGCCUCGUUAUAGCUGUUCUUGAUGAUCUAGUCAUCUAGCGGAGUAUAGAUGACGACCACAGACUAUUCUAGACAGUCCAGUGGAACACUAGCAGGCUCGCAACCUGUAGGUGUUUAUUCGAACUGUGUGUUUAUUCGAACUGUGUGAACUGUGUGCUCACCAGAUAUACUCCAUCCCAAUGAUAGUCGUUUGACUAGGUCCCUUGUGUUAGAUGUUUUAGGGACGUAAUGUGAGGAUAACGGGAAUGGGUAAUUGGGUUGAUUGUUUGAUGUUUAAAAAUAAUAAAUAUAUUAUUGUGGGUUGAAAACCCUAUGUGCUCACCAGGUUUCCCAACCUGACCCACUCACUUUAUUUAUAUCACAGGUGUUGAUAUGAAGUGACAUUACACUGAGAGAUUUAAAGAGAUGUAGACCACUAGUGUGAAUAAUUGUAAGUUCUGUUUAUACUUAUGUUCCUGUAUUAACGAUGACAUCCCAAACGUUUUAAAAUGAAAUAAAUAUGUUUCUUCGAAAAUGUUUUAAUAACGUAUUUACCAUGUUUUUCUGGGAACAAAUUCCGCAACAUUUUUAUGAAAUGAAGUACUCUGAUUUUUAUAAAGCAUAAACAAAAUCGAUCUUUUCUGGCCGUGAAAAUGGGGAUGUCACAG